This 461-nucleotide ribosomal RNA is filed under the name Streptococcus sp. oral taxon 431. RNAcentral's name for it is "bacterial SSU rRNA". It matches the Rfam family "Bacterial small subunit ribosomal RNA", at positions 28 to 474 of the family's 1533-position model. Lineage: Bacteria; Bacillati; Bacillota; Bacilli; Lactobacillales; Streptococcaceae. The record is from RNAcentral.
GACGAACGCGGCGGCGUGCCUAAUACAUGCAAGUAGAACGCUGAAGGAGGAGCUUGCUUUUCUGGAUGAGUUGCGAACGGGUGAGUAACGCGUAGGUAACCUGCCUGGUAGCGGGGGAUAACUAUUGGAAACGAUAGCUAAUACCGCAUAACAGUAGAUAUUGCAUGAUAUCUGCUUGAAAGGUGCAAUUGCAUCACUACCAGAUGGACCUGCGUUGUAUUAGCUAGUUGGUGGGGUAACGGCUCACCAAGGCGACGAUACAUAGCCGACCUGAGAGGGUGAUCGGCCACACUGGGACUGAGACACGGCCCAGACUCCUACGGGAGGCAGCAGUAGGGAAUCUUCGGCAAUGGACGGAAGUCUGACCGAGCAACGCCGCGUGAGUGAAGAAGGUUUUCGGAUCGUAAAGCUCUGUUGUAAGAGAAGAACGAGUGUGAGAGUGGAAAGUUCACACUGUGACG